UACGGAGGGGGCUAGCGUUGUUCGGAAUCACUGGGCGUAAAGCGCACGUAGGCGGAUUGUUAAGUCAGGGGUGAAAUCCUGGAGCUCAACUCCAGAACUGCCUUUGAUACUGGCGAUCUCGAGUCCGGGAGAGGUGAGUGGAACUGCGAGUGUAGAGGUGAAAUUCGUAGAUAUUCGCAAGAACACCAGUGGCGAAGGCGGCUCACUGGCCCGGUACUGACGCUGAGGUGCGAAAGCGUGGGGAGCAAACAGG
This 253-nucleotide ribosomal RNA is filed under the name uncultured bacterium. RNAcentral describes it as "partial 16S ribosomal RNA". It matches the Rfam family "Bacterial small subunit ribosomal RNA", at positions 524 to 776 of the family's 1533-position model. The record is from RNAcentral.